This 103-nucleotide transfer RNA is filed under the name Trametes cingulata. RNAcentral's name for it is "tRNA-Met". It matches the Rfam family "tRNA". Rfam says of the family: Transfer RNA (tRNA) molecules are approximately 80 nucleotides in length. Lineage: Eukaryota; Fungi; Basidiomycota; Agaricomycetes; Polyporales; Polyporaceae. The record is from RNAcentral.
GCUUGGAUGGCUCAGCUGGUUAGAGCGCAGGUCUCAUACUUUCGGUAUGACCACCGCCCUGUGGGUAAUCCUGAGGUCGUGAGUUCGAUCCUCACUGCGAGCA